RNAcentral lists this ribosomal RNA (573 nucleotides) under Channa asiatica (small snakehead). Its description in RNAcentral is "partial 16S ribosomal RNA". It matches the Rfam family "Bacterial large subunit ribosomal RNA", at positions 1816 to 2600 of the family's 2925-position model. The record is from RNAcentral. Lineage: Eukaryota; Metazoa; Chordata; Actinopteri; Anabantiformes; Channidae.
CGCCUCUUGUCUACUAAAAAUAAGAGGUCCUGCCUGCCCAGUGACAUUAAGUUCAACGGCCGCGGUAUUUUGACCGUGCAAAGGUAGCGCAAUCACUUGUCUUUUAAAUGAAGACCCGUAUGAAUGGCACAACGAGGGCCAAACUGUCUCCUUUUUCAGGUCAAUGAAAUUGAUCCCCCCGUGCAGAAGCGGGGAUUAGCACAUAAGACGAGAAGACCCUAUGGAGCUUUAGACACCAGAGCAGCCCUUGUUAAACCACCCUAAACAAAGGAAAAAACCAAACGGACCCUGCCCCCAUGUCUUUGGUUGGGGCGACCGCGGGGAACACAAAACCCCCAUGUGGAAUGGGAAAACACCUCCUAAAACCAAGAGCUACAGCUCUAAGCAAUAGAAUAUCUAACCAAAAGAUCCGGCAAAGCCGAUCAACGAACCGAGUUACCCUAGGGAUAACAGCGCAAUCCCCUUUUAGAGUCCAUAUCGACAAGGGGGUUUACGACCUCGAUGUUGGAUCAGGACAUCCUAAUGGUGCAGCCGCUAUUAAGGGUUCGUUUGUUCAACGAUUAAAGUCCUACG